This 71-nucleotide ribosomal RNA is filed under the name Caerostris extrusa. The record is from RNAcentral. Lineage: Eukaryota; Metazoa; Arthropoda; Arachnida; Araneae; Araneidae.
ACCGAAGUCAAGCAUCAUUGGGCGCGGUCAGUACUUGGGUGGGUGACCACCUGAGAACACCGCGUGCCGUU